AAUGAACGCUGGCGGCAUGCCUAACACAUGCAAGUCGAACGAGAGCAUCGGGUCUAGUGGUGCACGGGUGUGUAGCCGGUGGGGACAUGCCCUUAGGUUCGGCCUAACUAUCAGAAAGGGGUGCUAAUACGGGAUAAUGUCUUCGGACCAAAGAUUUAUCGCCUUUGGAGGGGCCCGAGUUGGAUUAGCUAGUUGGUAGGGUAAAAGCCUACCAAGGGGACGAUCCAUAACUGGGCUGAGAGGAUGAUCAGCCACACUGGGACUGAGACACGGCCCAGACUCCUACGGGAGGCAGCAGUGGGGAAUAUUGGACAAUGGGCGAAAGCCUGAUCCAGCAAUGCCGCGUGAGUGAUGAAGGCCUUAGGGUUGUAAAGCUCUUUUACCCGGGAUGAUAAUGACAGUACCGGGAGAAUAAGCUCCGGCUAACUCCGUG
RNAcentral lists this ribosomal RNA (433 nucleotides) under uncultured bacterium. Its description in RNAcentral is "partial 16S ribosomal RNA". It matches the Rfam family "Bacterial small subunit ribosomal RNA", at positions 29 to 507 of the family's 1533-position model. The record is from RNAcentral.